Molecule: ribosomal RNA, 440 nt
Filed under: uncultured bacterium
Lineage: Bacteria
Description: partial 16S ribosomal RNA
Rfam family: Bacterial small subunit ribosomal RNA
Source: RNAcentral
CCUACGGGAGGCAGCAGUGAGGAAUAUUGGUCAAUGGUCGGGAGACUGAACCAGCCAAGCCGCGUGAGUGAAGAAGUAUUUCGGUAUGUAAAGCUCUAUCAGCAGGGAAGAAGAUGACGGUACCUGAGUAAGAAGCCCCGGCUAACUACGUGCCAGCAGCCGCGGUAAUACGUAGGGGGCAAGCGUUAUCCGGAUUUACUGGGUGUAAAGGGAGCGUAGACGGUGAGACAAGUCUGAAGUGAAAGCCCGGGGCUCAACCCCGGGACUGCUUUGGAAACUGCCUGACUGGAGUGCUGGAGAGGCAAGCGGAAUUCCUAGUGUAGCGGUGAAAUGCGUAGAUAUUAGGAAGAACACCAGUGGCGAAGGCGGCUUGCUGGACAGUAACUGACGUUGAGGCUCGAAAGCGUGGGGAGCAAACAGGAUUAGAUACCCGUGUAGUC